Long non-coding RNA from Myiozetetes cayanensis, 708 nucleotides. RefSeq lists it as uncharacterized. Lineage: Eukaryota; Metazoa; Chordata; Aves; Passeriformes; Tyrannidae. The record is from RefSeq and is a predicted model, not a curated record. The transcript has 4 exons.
ACCAUCUGUGCACACAGCUUAUCCAUACCUGCCAGCUCGGCACAGAGGAAUGUGUCAGCUCCCACUUUUCCAGAUCAGCUGAAAGCCUCCUUCGUGCUCCAGUGAAAUUUUGAAACCAUUCCCUGAAGAUCUAUUCCCUUCACCCAGCACAUUUGACUGCCACAGCCUUCUCUCAGCAAGAAGCUCUUUCUGCAGUGCUGUUUUCACAGGUUGGAGCUGGGAAGAUUCAUCUGCUCUUCAGUGUCACCUCCCUGCCCUGCAAGCUGCAGAAUGAUCAUUCCAGGGUCCUGGGGAAUGUCACUCCUGACAAGAAUAUACUCUCCAAGACACUGAUUCCUCGGAGAUCUUGUCUACGCUUUGUACAACUUGGCCAUCUGUUUCUUGGAAUCUGGACAUUCAGCAACAGCAUGAAAUUAUACUGAUUUGGAAUCCAAUGAAGUCUGUGCUAUAAGCCAAACUAAGGAUCAAUAUGAUAUCUUCUUCGAGAUGGAUAUAUUUUCAGUCUUUUCAGUUUGAAGAAUCCAUUCCAUUCACAGAGUCCAAGAUGUCCUGAUCUGGUGCUCCUUUUUCCUGAAAGCUGUGGGAGUAGCAAGAUGGAUGUUCUGAUUCCAAACCAUCCGUAACAUACUCCGUUCAAAUGCAAAAUGUGGGGCAAAGACCUGCUGCCAUGCCCUGACUCCUUUUUCCCACUGUGGAUUGUAUUCAGGC